Molecule: transfer RNA, 90 nt
Filed under: Armatimonadota bacterium
Lineage: Bacteria; Bacillati; Armatimonadota
Also listed under: 3 other names
Description: Armatimonadetes bacterium tRNA-Ser
Rfam family: tRNA
About the family: Transfer RNA (tRNA) molecules are approximately 80 nucleotides in length. Their secondary structure includes four short double-helical elements and three loops (D, anti-codon, and T loops).
Source: RNAcentral
GGAGUGAUGUCCGAGUUGGUCUAAGGAGCACGACUGGAAAUCGUGUAGCGGGCGAAAGCUUGCUCGAGGGUUCGAAUCCCUCUCACUCCG